RNAcentral lists this unclassified non-coding RNA (213 nucleotides) under Hevea brasiliensis (rubber tree). The record is from RNAcentral. Lineage: Eukaryota; Viridiplantae; Streptophyta; Magnoliopsida; Malpighiales; Euphorbiaceae.
GGAGAAUAUUCAAGGGGAGCCACUGACAGGAGCCGAGAGAAAGGCCUUGGUGGAGAAGUGUCAAAAGAAGAAAACAAACAGGCAGAUUAAUAUAGGAAGAGAUGGUUUGACUCACAAUAUGUUAAAUGAUAUUUAUAAUCACUGGAAACAUGCCGAAGCAGUGAGGAUCAAAUGUCUAGGAGUUCCCACUGUUGAUAUGAAAAACGUGUGCAC